UAGCUGGUUUCUCAAGAAAAGAAUUUUAGUUCCGCCUAAAGCAACAUAAAUCCAAAUAAAUCACCCCCACCCUUUAGAGUAAUUCAAAUAAGGUACAGCCUAUUUGAUACAGGACCCAACCUUCAUUUACGGGUAACAUCAGACCCCACAUACCCAAGUUGGCCUAACAGCAGCCAUCUUUAAAAAAGCGUCAAAGCUUAGCCAUAACGGUCCCAAUUCACCAACCAUUAUUGACCCCUAUCACCCUACUGAGAACUUCUAUACACUUAUAGAAAAUAUUAUGCUAAAACUAGUAACAAGAGGAAUAACCUCUCUCCAGUGCAAACUUAAGCCAGAAAGAAUCCAUCACUGGCAAUUAACAGACCUACACAAAAGUAACAACCAUUCCAGAAAACCCUACUCUCUUUAACUGUUAACCUAACACCAGAGCACUCCCAGAAAGAUUAAAAGAAAAAGAAGGAACUCGGCAAAUAUUAGCUCCGCCUGUUUACCAAAAACAUCGCCUCUUGAUUCUAUAAGAGGUCCAGCCUGCCCAGUGACCUAGUUCAACGGCCGCGGUAUCCUAACCGUGCAAAGGUAGCGUAAUCACUUGUCUUCUAAAUAAAGACUAGUAUGAAAGGCACCACGAGAACUAAACUGUCUCCCUUUUCCAAUCAGUGAACCUAAUAUUCCCGUGAAGAAGCGGGGAUUUUAAAAUAAGACGA
RNAcentral lists this ribosomal RNA (704 nucleotides) under Pristimantis citriogaster (throated robber frog). RNAcentral describes it as "partial 16S ribosomal RNA". The stretch from base 441 to 687 matches the Rfam family "Archaeal large subunit ribosomal RNA", at positions 1787 to 2143 of the family's 2987-position model. The record is from RNAcentral. Lineage: Eukaryota; Metazoa; Chordata; Amphibia; Anura; Strabomantidae.